CAAGUAGUUUUAGCUCAGCUGUAAAGUGCGACUUACCUCUGCAAAAGAUUUUGUAGAAGGAAGUCUGUUUCACCGUAGCUUAGACAACCACGGUCCGUUGUUAUGUUAUGGAUUUUAAAUAAAAACAUAUCAGUCUACGUCCCCGUCGUGUUACGUCUAGUUACGCAUUACGUGUUCUAAAUGGACUUCCAUUUGACAACCAAUUAGAAACGUAGGAUUCGCCGAUCGCAGACAACCAAUCACACCCCGACAUUCAAAGCUGGACCUGCCGCUGAGGUCAACCGAGGUGUCCGGUGACCGUAGCCCAACGCUACAGUGAUUCCGUGCAUUUCAGUAUCUACAAGUGAAGAUGGCCACCCCAGUAAUCCGCAUCGUCAACCCAGAGGCCCCUGCCCAACGUCAGCAGGCCCUACUGAUGGCGACUAAAGAGGCCAGCGCUAUGGUGAGAAAAAGCUGGUCUUCCCUAAACCUCCACAGGAGCUGCUCUUCCAGGAGAGCGCCCUGACACAUGCAGAGAAGCUCCUUCCAGUAGAGGGCAUCCCUGCACCGCCGCAUCAGCUGUGCCUGAAACAGCUGGUAGUACCUUUUGGCCGGUAUGACACAGCACCCUUCCACUGGGUUGUUGCAAAUGAUGUGGGAUACAUGAAGUAGGAAGCUCAUUAUAUUCAAUCCCAUUGUUGGCGGUGCAUUUCUUUUGAUUGCAUGUUUAAAAUAUACAUCUGUUUACC
Etheostoma cragini (Arkansas darter) is the source of this 728-nucleotide long non-coding RNA. RefSeq lists it as uncharacterized. The record is from RefSeq and is a predicted model, not a curated record. NCBI's taxonomy places the organism in Eukaryota, Metazoa, Chordata, Actinopteri, Perciformes, Percidae. The transcript has 2 exons.